RNAcentral lists this ribosomal RNA (273 nucleotides) under uncultured bacterium. RNAcentral describes it as "partial 16S ribosomal RNA". It matches the Rfam family "Bacterial small subunit ribosomal RNA", at positions 523 to 796 of the family's 1533-position model. The record is from RNAcentral.
AUACGUAUGUCGCAAGCGUUAUCCGGAAUUAUUGGGCGUAAAGCGAGUCUAGGCGGCUUGUUAAGUCAGAUGUGAAAAUGCGGGGCUCGACUCCGUAUUGCGUUUGAAACUGGCAGGCUAGAGUACUGGAGAGGUGGGCGGAACUACAAGUGUAGAGGUGAAAUUCGUAGAUAUUUGUAGGAAUGCCGAUAGUGAAGACAGCUCACUGGACAGAUACUGACGCUAAAGCUCGAAAGCGUGGGGAGCGAACAGGAUUAGAAACCCCAGUAGUCC